Molecule: ribosomal RNA, 453 nt
Filed under: Triticum aestivum (bread wheat)
Lineage: Eukaryota; Viridiplantae; Streptophyta; Magnoliopsida; Poales; Poaceae
Description: partial small subunit ribosomal RNA
Source: RNAcentral
AUGACCGACGGUGAGGUCGUUCCUGUUACGAGCUGGAGCAAAGGCGAUCUGCAGCUGUGGGCGUCCGGGUGGGGUAUUGAGCGCGAGGUGACCAAGCUCAACCAUGUCCACCGACAGCUCAAGUCGGUGCUCACCGUGAUGGAGGGGAAGGAGAUCCAUAACGUGGAGCUCGCGCGAUCUCUUAGGGAAGCCCGUGGUAUGGCCUCCCACGGCGAGGACCUCUGGAGCGGGCUGGAGUACUACCGCUUCCAGGAGGCCGACGGCGGCGGCGAGGAUGGUCGUUGGGUCGAUGGAUCUCAAGGUCUCCUGGGCCUGGUCGAGGAAGAAGGGGGAUCAGGGACUGCCGUUGUCGACGACAUGCCACAGGUGAGAGAGAUGGCCAUGCUGGUAGCCUCAUAUCUCCACCGGAGAUUUUUAUUUAUCACUGAUCAUCAUACAAAAAUAAAAAAAUGA